GCCUCCACAGCCCACGAACUCGCGGCCUCUCCUCAACCCCACCGCCGCCGCAGGCCGUCGCCGUCGCCGUUGCCCCACCUCCUCGCUGAGAGCUCUACAGUGCAGGGGAAUGGCGCCGGCGCCGCCCAAGAUGUGGCUGUCCGUGGGGAUCAACAAGGGUCCGGCGUCACCAAGCGCGAGCUCCCGCCCGCCCGUCCGGCCGCAAAGGGAAAAUUACCAAGAGGGUCCAUUUUGUUAGGAACUUGAUCAGGGAAGUUGCUGGAUUCGCGCCAUAAGAAAAGCGUGUCACCGAGCUUCUGAAGGUUGGAAAAGAUAAACGUGCACUCAAGGUAGCCAAGAAAGCUAGGCACACACAAGAGAGCCAAGAAGAAGUGUGAGGAGAUGUCCGGUGUUCUUAGGAAGAUAAGAGCUGCUGGAACCGCCGAGAGGAAGAAGUGAGGCGGCUCGAAUCGUUGAGAAGUGUCGAAGUAGCAAAGUAUUACUGACGGACGCUUCCGGCGCACAUCUUUGCAGCGUGGUUCCCUCGCAUCUCGUGUCAGCGGAUUUUGUGCAUUUGAUGAUGGAAUCAACCGUAAGCUUUGAUUGAUGUCGAGAAAAGAUGUGGCCGUCGAGCAGUUUUGAUCUGGUGAUUUCUGCAUGAUCUCAAGAAUGAGAACCCAGUUGUAAGAUAACCACUGAAACUCUGAAGGGGGGGAUCCAGAUCCAAGAAAUCUGCUGAAACUGGAGAGGCGUCAGCUCU
Molecule: long non-coding RNA, 739 nt
Organism: Triticum dicoccoides
Lineage: Eukaryota; Viridiplantae; Streptophyta; Magnoliopsida; Poales; Poaceae
Exons: 5
Source: RefSeq, a predicted model, not a curated record